CUCGUGUAAUGUACUUGAAUGUCUUUUUCAUACACCCAUUCAAGUCUGGUAUCACAGAGAAUAACUUAAUGCCCCCUUAACUUCAACGUGUUUGAAGGACCUUAGGACUUCUUUGUUGAGCUCCUCAUUCCCAGGACCUCCCGUUGUUGGCUUGUAUUAAUGAUGAAUCACUGACAGGCAAUCCGAACAGAAAUCACUGCCCAUAUCAUAUUUAAAUACGUGAUCUUAAUGGAUAAGAAAGCUACAGUGGUUACUCCAUCUCUGGUAACUACAUUGGGUACCUCGCCGUUCGUGAGCUGAUCUGAGGAACGUUUUGCUGCAGAGAAAGGAAGGGUCUUGGAAUGUUUGGGCGAAAGCUCCUCGGGUGGAACUGCAGUUUUACAGAAUGCAGCAUGUGCCCUCAAUCUGGAAAUCUCCCAGGAGAGAACAAGAACUGCCCGCUAACGCCAGGGUCAGGCUGGCUCCAGCCUGCAAUUGGGAUGCUGCUGGCAAGGCUGGACGAGUGCUGAGGAGGGCUCACAGAUCCGGCAGGAAAGAUUAGGUACAGAUUUGGACUAAGCAGCGUGAAUGUGGUUGAAUGUUCAUGUGACUGUAAAACUUGGGCUUCAGCCUCUGCCCUGAGACGUGCCUGUUCCAGCCUGAGGGAGGCUGCCCGUGGUGUUCUGACCCCUCUCUGUGCCCAGCCUGAAGUUCAACAGCCACGGCUCCAGCUACAGGCUCAGCUGCUCUCUAAACUUCUCUGUUUGUCCAUCAGUUUAUACCUGGAAGGCCUGAUAAUUUCCAAGAGUACUCGCUGUCAACGAAGCCAGAUUUUGGUAGUCAUUAUUGAAUUAUGCUUUUAUUUUCUUAAGCUUGGCUCCUCUUCUUCCCUCGCAACAUGGCUGUCAGUGCUGCUGGCAGCAGCUGCUUCUCCUUGUGUUCCACCAGCUGUUGCUAGGGACAGGCCUCCAGGCCGUGCUUCCCUCUGAAAAUGAGAGAGUUACCUUAGUGACAGGCAAUUCAUAAACACAUCCUUACGGCUGUGCUGGACUCCAGAGCGGAUCCGUAGUUCACCUCAUGGCUCCUAUUAUUAACCUUGGAACUUGCAAUUUGUACAGUCAACAAAGUUUGAGUUAUCUAAUUGUGUACGUGCUUGAAGAUGGUAAACGUUAACAUCGUUGUAGAGUAAAAGAACCCAAUGUUGAGCCCAGGAAAUACCAAGUUCUACUAUUAAGAGAAAUGGAGUUCAGUGGUCGGUCAUGGCAAAGUGGAAAACUUCUGUUUCAGCUUGGCCAUCUGGAUCUGUCACAUCACCCUGGUAUUCCACAUCCACAGGUAUUUCCAAUUCCUGUAGCAUAUCUAAAGAAAUGGAUGUUUAUUUAUAUGACUAAAAUACACUGCGAAGUAAAUUAGCUUUAAAACUGCAAGAUGAUUUCUGUAUAUAAUUGUAUAUAGAAAUAAGUCAUAUUCCCAUUUAAAGAUUUUUUCAGGGAAUGUAUACAUAAAUAAAACCAAAACAAUACCCGUGUCAUGGUUUGGGCCGGACUGGCCACGGAAACGAAUGACAGAUGCUCUCCCCACACUCUCCCUUCAGGGAGAGAAGGAUAGAGGGAGACUUAUGAGCUUAAAAGAGACUAAACUACUUUAAAGAAAUAUUAAUAAUAAAAAGAUCAUAUGAAAAAAUAA
Long non-coding RNA from Calidris pugnax (ruff), 1665 nucleotides. RefSeq lists it as uncharacterized. NCBI's taxonomy places the organism in Eukaryota, Metazoa, Chordata, Aves, Charadriiformes, Scolopacidae. The transcript has 3 exons. The record is from RefSeq and is a predicted model, not a curated record.